RNAcentral lists this ribosomal RNA (497 nucleotides) under uncultured bacterium. RNAcentral describes it as "partial 16S ribosomal RNA". It matches the Rfam family "Bacterial small subunit ribosomal RNA", at positions 28 to 507 of the family's 1533-position model. The record is from RNAcentral.
GAUGAACGCUGGCGGCGUGCCUAAUACAUGCAAGUCGAGCGAACAGAUGAGGAGCUUGCUCCUCUGACGUUAGCGGCGGACGGGUGAGUAACACGUGGAUAACCUACCUAUAAGACUGGGAUAACUUCGGGAAACCGGAGCUAAUACCGGAUAAUAUAUUGAACCGCAUGGUUCAAUAGUGAAAGACGGUUUUGCUGUCACUUAUAGAUGGAUCCGCGCUGCAUUAGCUAGUUGGUAAGGUAACGGCUUACCAAGGCAACGAUGCGUAGCCGACCUGAGAGGGUGAUCGGCCACACUGGAACGGAGACACGGUCCAGACUCCUACGGGAGGCAGCAGUAGGGAAUCUUCCGCAAUGGGCGAAAGCAUGACGGAGCAACGCCGCGUGAGUGAUGAAGGUCUUCGGAUCGUAAAACUCUGUUAUUAGGGAAAAACAAAUGUGUAAGUAACUAUGCACGUCUUGACGGUACCUAAUCAGAAAGCCACGGCUAACUACGUG